AUUCAGCCGGAGAAAAUGAAACGGCAAUAAAAAACCGGCACAUGGCCCUCUGGAAGUAAAAGUAGAAAAGAACAAGGAUCCUAUACCUUUUAUGUGACAUCUCAUCGAACCAUCUACUUUACCAGCUCAGUGUGGGCAACAUAAACUUGUUCAAAUAUGCCCAUGUUUUUACCCACAUUUUAUGCCAAUGCAACUCGGCUCUUUUCCUCAUGACUGGUCGCUCGAUUUCAACUGGAACCAGUGACUUGGCGGGCCCCGCAGCAUUUGGAGAAAACAACAUUUUUGUUAUUUGACUCUUUCUUCUUAUUAUUAUUAUUAUUUUUUUAGGUUAUCUUACGCACGACUUUAUUAUAAAGGAGAUGACUGAAAUCGACUGGAACGAACCAGCAUAACGGCUGAACGCGGUUACGCUGACGUGCAAAAUAGGCAAACACGCGAAUCGAGGUUUGCGGUGUCUCAUCGAAAUCCACAUCAAUACAUUUAGGAAAGCUGUUGAUGUCGGUCGUUGGAUGGCAGACGCCGCUAGAGCGAAUAGUUGGCAGAAAUGUUAAUUGCGAAUCGCGCACCAAGAGAAAGUUCUGUGCAAACAUGGAAUUUUCAUUCCUGUCGCUAUAAAUAUUAGUAAAAUACAAUUUCAUGUUGGCUGUGCUUUAUUUCCUCCUCUCGGAUGAACGGUCCUUUUGUUCCUUAUAAAACGCACGUCCGAAAAAUCACGUUUAAUGGCCUAAAGAAAGUUGAAGAUAAAUGGAAAAGAUCGAAAGCGAAGUGAAAGCUCUGCGCAUUUUUGAUGCCUUUUGCACAUAGUAAUCAAUUGAUGAGGGAGGCGUGAUGGCGGGAAUUUGAAAAAAAAAAACGAUGAUGCGGAACCAGUUAAACGGUGCAUGAAAUUGAAAACAAUUGCGCUUUGAACGACAGGAUGGUUUCUGUGUAUUCUUUUUUUUUUUUGCGGUUUUUUUGAACAAAUCACUGAUAUUCGUGGGCUUUCUCCAUGUUUUACAUCUCUUUGCAGUCUCUUUCUCUUCCAAAUUCCAUAUGUGCCAUUAAUAGCGCACUCUGGUAUUGUAACAAAUAUAAAAAAAAACAAUAUUCGUUCCAAUGAAGAGUAGAAUCGAGCGCUAUUUCGACUAUCGAGUGGAAAUCUCGAGCAGUGGAUCCUGCAGAGCCUUCCAACCCGUUCCGUCGUGGAUGUACACACAAUGGACACAGAAGAAUUCUUCGGAUACAAAGGACUUUCAAAACUCGAUGACGUAGCGAGGUGUGUUAAAACCGUAUCUCACACCGUUGUACAACAACAACAACAACAAC
Long non-coding RNA from Daphnia magna, 1305 nucleotides. RefSeq lists it as uncharacterized. The record is from RefSeq and is a predicted model, not a curated record. The transcript is spliced from 2 exons. NCBI's taxonomy places the organism in Eukaryota, Metazoa, Arthropoda, Branchiopoda, Diplostraca, Daphniidae.